GAUGAAGAACGUAGCGAAAUGCGAUAAGUAAUGCGAAUUGCAGAAUUCAGUGAAUCAUCGAAUCUUUGAACGCACAUUGCGCCCUUUGGUAUUCCGAAGGGCAUGCCUGUUCGAGCGUCAUUUCACCACUCAAGCCUGGCUUGGUAUUGGGCGCCGCGGUCGAUCCGCGCGCCUCAAAGUCUCCGGCUGAGCUGUCCGUCUCUAAGCGUUGUGAUUUCAUUAAUCGCUUCGGAGUGCGGGCGGCCGCGGCCGUUAAAUCUUUCACAAGGUUGACCUCGGAUCAGGUAGGGAUACCCGCUGAACUUAAGCAUAUCAAUAAGCGGAGGA
This 327-nucleotide unclassified non-coding RNA is filed under the name soil metagenome. RNAcentral's name for it is "partial contains 5.8S ribosomal RNA, internal transcribed spacer 2, and large subunit ribosomal RNA". The stretch from base 1 to 120 matches the Rfam family "5.8S ribosomal RNA", at positions 35 to 154 of the family's 154-position model. The record is from RNAcentral.